GACGAACGCUGGCGGCGUGCUUAACACAUGCAAGUCGAACGGAAAGGCCCUGCUUUUGUGGGGUGCUCGAGUGGCGAACGGGUGAGUAAAACGUGAGUAACCUGCCCUUGACUUUGGGAUAACUUCAGGAAACUGGGGCUAAUACAGGAUAGGAGCUCCUGCUGCAUGGUGGGGGUUGGAAAGUUUCGGCGGUUGGGGAUUGAGUGGCGGCGUAUCAGCUUGUUGGUGGGGUAGUGGAUUACCAAGGCUUUGACGGGUAGCCGGCCUGGGAGGGUGACCGGGCACAAUGGGACUGAGGGACGGCGCAGACUCCAACGGGAGGCAGCGGGGGGGAAUAUGGCACAAUGGGCGGGAGCCUGAUGCAGCAGCGCCGCGUGCGGGAUGACGGCCUUCGGGUUGUAAACCGCUUUCGCCUGUGACGAAGCGGGAGUGACGGUAAUGGGUAAAGAAGCACCGGCUAACUACGUG
Molecule: ribosomal RNA, 468 nt
Filed under: uncultured bacterium
Lineage: Bacteria
Description: partial 16S ribosomal RNA
Rfam family: Bacterial small subunit ribosomal RNA
Source: RNAcentral